GGCAUGAUGGCCGAGUGGUCUAAGGCGGUUAGUGGGCUUGUCCAUCACAUGUAGACUCAUUUACUAACAGAGGUUAUAGGCGGUUUUAAGCUAUCCCGGAUUGCACCGCUCUCGAGAGAGGCGUGGGUUCAAACCCCACUCAUGUCA
Xylogone sp. PMI_703 is the source of this 147-nucleotide non-coding RNA. The record is from the annotation of a GenBank genome assembly. Lineage: Eukaryota; Fungi; Ascomycota; Leotiomycetes.